CGUCGCCCCGCCUCCUUCACGGCAGACGCUGCGGUCUUGCGCCCCCGUGUGCCUGAACUAAGGACCCGCCAAAGUUUAAUUCUUCUCUCCCACGUGACUCGAGCGGGACAGACAGUCUCGAGGCAGGGGUUGAGCGGGAUGCUGCGGAAUGGCGAAUCCACAUGGGAUGGGCCCCUUGAGAAUUGACCGUUCUGCAGACGUGAAGACAGGCCUUCCAAAGUUGCAGAUUACAUCUCAUUGGCUCUGAUUGAUCAGGCGCCAUUUUGGAAAUAGUCACUGUGGCCAGAAGAAGGGGCCGUUCUUAUUAGCCAGGCCUGAAUCUCACAUCCAUCGCAGAGUGUAUACACCGUUUGAAAGACUUGUCUGAAAGUGCACACCAGGAUGCUUUUACCAGACGAGAGGGAAGUAGAUGGGACGCGUCCGACCAAGAAAUAUCCGCUGUGGCCUAAAAGGCAAGUUUCUUUUCACCCCAGUUUCUUAGUAAAUUCAUCUCCGUCCUCCACUUUCCUCUGUAACUGUUUGGUGUCUCUGUCCAGUAACCUCUUCCUUUUGCAUUGCUCAUUUAAAAAUUUUAUAAGGUAUAUCGUGAAAAACAUCUAAUGGAAUUCGCCUUGCUGGGUUUUGGUCUCCUUUGAGACCCGUGAUCCCUUUUUUUCCCUUCCUUUUUCUCCCUUUUGGAAUGGGACUGUCUAUCCUGUGCCUUUCCCACCACUGUAUUUUGGAAGCAAAUAAUGUGUCUGGUUU
This is a long non-coding RNA of Zalophus californianus (California sea lion), 744 nucleotides long. RefSeq lists it as uncharacterized. The record is from RefSeq and is a predicted model, not a curated record. The transcript is spliced from 3 exons. NCBI's taxonomy places the organism in Eukaryota, Metazoa, Chordata, Mammalia, Carnivora, Otariidae.